This 263-nucleotide ribosomal RNA is filed under the name uncultured archaeon. RNAcentral describes it as "partial 16S ribosomal RNA". It matches the Rfam family "Archaeal small subunit ribosomal RNA", at positions 748 to 1008 of the family's 1478-position model. The record is from RNAcentral.
AGGGUGUAAACGCUGCGGGCUUGGUGUUGGGGGUCCUUUGAGGGCGCCCAGUGCCGGAGAGAAGUUGUUAAGCCUGCUGCUUGGGGAGUACGUCCGCAAGGAUGAAACUUAAAGGAAGUUGGCGGGGGAGGCACCGCAACGGGAGGAGCGUGCGGUUCAAUUGGAUUCAACGCCGGACAACUCACCAGGAGCGACGGUUACAUGAAGGCCAGGCUGAUGACCUUGCCUGAUUUUCCGAGAGGAGGUGCAUGGCGUCAGUGACU